This 1028-nucleotide long non-coding RNA is filed under the name Aquilegia coerulea. Its description in RNAcentral is "long non-coding RNA (ACOE_LNC002254)". Lineage: Eukaryota; Viridiplantae; Streptophyta; Magnoliopsida; Ranunculales; Ranunculaceae. The record is from RNAcentral.
UUGAAACAGGUACUGUAGAUAAAUUAAUAGGCUUCCCUCAACUCAAGGAAGAAGAGCAAUUACCGCCUUUGGCCUCUCUUAUUUCCUUCGAACCAGCAAGUCGUGGGAUUCUAGAAAAACUUAUGCAGCACAAUAAAUUAAAAGUUCCCAUCUUCUCCUAUUUCUUUGUGUACUCACAAUUUAGUGCAACAACUCCAAAACCUUGAAGGGAUAAACACGAUUAUUGUCUAAAAAUAGAGGAGUUGAUAGGAGAAGGAGAAGAAAAAAAAAAUAGAGGAGUUGAUAGGAGAAGGAGAAGAAAAAAAACAUGACAGAUGAAGGGAGCAAGAAGAACAUCACUGCAAUUAUCAAUACACUCCUAAGGUUAAAGAAAUUGUACUAGUCCAAAGUCCAAACAACCAUUUGCCCUCUGCUAUAUCCUUGGAAGAAAUGAAUGGUGGGAAUCAAGGAGUCUUAUGCAGCAGGUAUGUUAAUAGUUAAUACUAAGAAUAUUUUCCUGUCUUCAAGGUUGCUGCAACAGCUCCAAAACCUUGAAUGCGCUUCCAUCUUUUUCAAUUAUUUCUUAUUGUUGGGUGAGAUUCAGUUCUUUUUCCCAGUUAUUUCCUUGAAGUUUCUUUAGUUAAUUAUUUCAAUGCACGCCUCAUUUGGAGCAUUAGAGGCGUAUGUCUCAGUGGUUUAUAGUACUGCCUCACUUCAAGUCGCACCUCAAAAUGCCUUUUUAUUUAAAUUAUGUUUGUGAUUGAAAGUUAUUUCUGAUCAAGGUUUAAACGCCUUUGUUUUGAAAGGGUUAAGUCAGGCCCUGACAGGAAACGGCGCUGACGAUCAGACCAAAGCUCUAUCUUCUAUGUUUACUUGUGUUAUUUUUAAUUUCUGUUAUAGGACAGGAAACGGCGCUGCUCAUAUCUUGGCAUCCAAAACAGAUAUUAGCUCGCCAGUUUCGUGCUCUUACCUCUAUCCCCCUGACUGGAUUCUGUUACAGUUAAAACAUGAUAUGUUAUUCUGUAAUAUGGCUACUGAUUAGCUUUUCG